UAUACAUGCAGAAUUGGUAAGAUUAUCUACUUAAAAUAGCUUAAUUUGAUAUUAAAGUUAUACUUACUAACUAGGUAACCUACAUUACUACGAGCUACAUCUAAACGAACAUUAACAGUGCAGUGCCCAUAACGAUUGUGCUGAGGUCACUAUAUACCCUCGAAAGUUGCCUACAUCAAAGCGCAAAUUACGGAAUUCGAACUCAUAAGACUGAAAGGUUAGGAAAAUAGACAUUUGACCGACAUCAGACUGACAUUUGAGCAGGAAAGGGAACUAAACGUAAGUAAAAUUACUGAAAAACUUA
This 304-nucleotide long non-coding RNA is filed under the name Aedes aegypti (yellow fever mosquito). RNAcentral describes it as "lncRNA AAEL020224". Lineage: Eukaryota; Metazoa; Arthropoda; Insecta; Diptera; Culicidae. The record is from RNAcentral.